RNAcentral lists this ribosomal RNA (1458 nucleotides) under metagenome. RNAcentral's name for it is "bacterial SSU rRNA". It matches the Rfam family "Bacterial small subunit ribosomal RNA". The record is from RNAcentral.
AGAGUUUGACCCUGGCUCAGGAUGAACGCUGGCGGCGUGCCUAACACAUGCAAGUCGAACGGGAAGUUCACCUUCGGGUGAAUGGAGAGUGGCGCACGGGUGAGUAACACGUAGCUCAUCUACCCUCGAGAAGGGGAUAACAACUGGAAACAGUUGCUAAUACCCUAUAUGCUCACGGACUGUAGAAGUUUGUGAGAAAAGCUCCGGCGCUCGAGGAUGAGGCUGCGGACCAUCAGCUAGUUGGUAAGGUAAAGGCUUACCAAGGCGACGACGGUUAGGGGACCUGAGAGGGUGGCCCCCCACACUGGAACUGAGACACGGUCCAGACUCCUACGGGAGGCAGCAGUGAGGAAUAUUGCACAAUGGGCGCAAGCCUGAUGCAGCGACGCCGCGUGGGCGAAGAAGGUUUUCGGAUCGUAAAGCCCUUUUCUGUGUGACGAGGAAGGACGGUAGCACAGGAAAAAGUGUCGGCUAACUACGUGCCAGCAGCCGCGGUAAAACGUAGGACGCAAGCGUUAUCCGGAGUUACUGGGCGUAAAGCGCGAGCAGGCGGAUUGUUAAGUUAGCCAUGAAAGCUCCCGGCUAAACUGGGAGAGGCUGGUUGAUACUGGCAGUCUAGAGUACGAGAGAGGAAGGUAGAAUUCCGCGUGUAGUGGUGAAAUGCGUAGAUAUGCGGAGGAAUACCAGUGGCGAAGGCGGCCUUCUGGCUCGAUACUGACGCUGAGGCGCGAAAGCAUGGGUAGCGAACGGGAUUAGAAACCCCGGUAGUCCAUGCCGUAAACGAUGUACACUAGACGUUCGUAUGUCACUGACAUGUGAGUGUCGAAGCAAACGCGAUAAGUGUACCGCCUGGGGAGUACGGUCGCAAGGCUAAAACUCAAAGGAAUUGACGGGGGCCCGCACAAGCAGCGGAGCGUGUGGUUUAAUUCGAGACUACGCGAAGAACCUUACCUGGGUUUGACAUCCUAUGACAGCUUACGAAAGUAAGUUUUCCUUCGGGACAUAGUGACAGGUGCUGCAUGGCUGUCGUCAGCUCGUGCCGUGAGGUGUUCGGUUAAGUCCGCAAACGAGCGCAACCCCCGGCGUUAGUUACAAGUGUCUAACGCAACUGCCCGUGGCAAACGGGAGGAAGGUGGGGAUGACGUCAAGUCAGCAUGGCCUUUAUAUCCAGGGCUACACACACGCUACAAUGGUACGUACAGUGGGUCGCGAAGCCGCGAGGUGGAGCCAAUCCCCCAAAGCGUACCUCAGUUCGGAUUGUAGGCUGCAACUCGCCUGCAUGAAGUCGGAGUUGCUAGUAAACGCGUAUCAGCACGGCGCGUUGAAUACGUUCCCGGGCCUUGUACACACCGCCCGUCACGUCACGGGAGUUGGUCACGCCUGAAGUCGGGAAGCUAACCGCAAGGGGGCUACCGCCUAGGGCAGGAUCGAUGACUGGGACGAAGUCGUAACAAGGUA